UGGGGAAUUUUCCGCAAUGGGCGCAAGCCUGACGGAGCAACGCCGCGUGGGUGAUGACGGCCUUAGGGUUGUAAAGCUCUUUCGCCGGUGAAGAUAAUGACGGUAACCGGUAAAGAAGCCCCGGCUAACUUCGUGCCAGCAGCCGCGGUAAUACGAAGGGGGCUAGCGUUGUUCGGAAUUACUGGGCGUAAAGCGCACGUAGGCGGACCAUUAAGUCAGGGGUGAAAUCCCGGGGCUCAACCUCGGAAUUGCCUUUGAUACUGGUGGUCUUGAGUCCGAGAGAGGUGAGUGGAACUCCGAGUGUAGAGGUGAAAUUCGUAGAUAUUCGGAAGAACACCAGUGGCGAAGGCGGCUCACUGGCUCGGUACUGACGCUGAGGUGCGAAAGCGUGGGGAGCAAACAGGAUUAGAUACCCGGGUAG
RNAcentral lists this ribosomal RNA (421 nucleotides) under uncultured prokaryote. Its description in RNAcentral is "bacterial SSU rRNA". It matches the Rfam family "Bacterial small subunit ribosomal RNA", at positions 355 to 793 of the family's 1533-position model. The record is from RNAcentral.